RNAcentral lists this ribosomal RNA (406 nucleotides) under uncultured bacterium. RNAcentral describes it as "partial 16S ribosomal RNA". It matches the Rfam family "Bacterial small subunit ribosomal RNA", at positions 30 to 526 of the family's 1533-position model. The record is from RNAcentral.
AUUGAACGCUGGCGGCAGGCCUAACACAUGCAAGUCGAACGAGUGGCGGACGGGUGAGUAAUGUCUGGGAAACUGCCCGAUGGAGGGGGAUAACUACUGGAAACGGUAGCUAAUACCGCAUACCAUCGGAUGUGCCCAGAUGGGAUUAGCUAGUAGGUGGGGUAACGGCUCACCUAGGCGACGAUCCCUAGCUGGUCUGAGAGGAUGACCAGCCACACUGGACCUGAAACACGGUCCAGACUCUUACGGUAGGCCGCAGUGGGGAAUUUUGCACAAUGGGGGCCAGCCUGAUCCUGCCAUGCCGCGGGUAUGAAGAAGGCCUUCGGAUUGUAAAGUUCUUUCAGCGAGAGUGCGUAACUCGCAGAAGAAGCACCGGCUACCUCCGGGCCAGCCGCCGCGGUAAUAC